Molecule: long non-coding RNA, 1806 nt
Filed under: Zonotrichia albicollis (white-throated sparrow)
Lineage: Eukaryota; Metazoa; Chordata; Aves; Passeriformes; Passerellidae
Description: lncRNA (ENSZALG00000017740.1)
Source: RNAcentral
AAAGAACCAGGAAGACUGUCUACAGUUUUCUCUCAUUUAAGACAAAUGCAGUCCUGAUGGCUGUGGCCUGAAGGGAAGAGCUGCCUUCCUGCCAGAAGAGGAGCAGAACUGUUAAUAUCUGGCAACAGGAGAGAGGCAAAGGGAUGGCUCUGAGACACAGUUUGCUGCUGGUGUACAAGGAGCUGACAGUCCUCAGUCUCUCCCUCCUGUCCCAGCCCUGUGAGUCAUCAGGAUUCACUCACUCUCCUUUGUCUCCGAACUUGGGUUGUAAGCUGCACAGUCUGCUGCCAUCCUGCUGACCCACUAAUCUGCCUUCCAACAAUGUAUGUCCUCUCCUGCCCUUUGUUCCAGGCACUCCCAUUCUUUCUCCACUCUCCACAAUCUCAACGUUUCUCCUGCAGCUCUGUGUAACAAGGGGGAGAACAGGAGGUAUUUGCUGGUGGGGGUAGGAGAAACCAUGGGAGCAUGAAUGUGCAGCAUAAAUCUGUCAGAAGCCUGGCUGAUCCCUAAAUUAUUUAUUUUUUCAGGUCCUUCUCAAGUUCAUCCUCUGGGUAAAUGUUUGUAUUCCAAGCAGUUUUUGGUAAAAUCAUGGUUAACUGCUGUGAAUGUUCCAAACUGCAUAUCCACAUCCUGCUCCCUGUGAGAAGCAGAGAAAUGCCACACAUUUUCAGUUGUCAUCUGAGAGGGAUCCUACACACUGGCUCUGGAGGUAAACUGCCUUUGGUCAGAACAGCUUGGGUCUGGACUCAAAUGGAUGCUUUACAGAGCAGAGGUAUCCAAAGACAGGUUUGUUGGUUUGACUCAUCUUUCAUUCAGCUCAUUGUGCUGUUCCAAAAGACUGCUGAUAAAUGGAAAUAUGCUUUUAAGUCUUAUAUAAUUUGUAUACUUAUAUGAUUUAUGGGUGAUCUAAAGCUCAAAACUGCCAGUGGAGCUACAGAAAUGCUUGAGAGGAACAGGCCUCCUUGUCACCAGAGGCAACCUAUACAAGAUUUGCACUCUGGUGCUAAAAGUAUGUCUAUUUCUGCAAAUAUUUUACUGAAACAAGCAACUUCAUAUACAUAAGUAGUCAACUUCAAACAAGAACACUAAUUGUACUGAUGAGGCUCAGCAGGACUGAAACAAGAAUUAUGAAAAGACUUUUCUUCCUGUUCUAUCAAAAAUGGUUUAAUUUCUUACAAUGGGUUGAAAAUUAAAAAGAAUGAAGGAAGGAGUUGUACAUAACUUCAGGGUAAUGUUUGUGCAACUGAGAAAUGCUGGUUGAUGUCAAAGCAUUUCUGUGUUACUAAAUAUCACAGCAUAGGUGUAACCUGCCGCAGGAAAAUGUUUGAAGAGAAAGAUUGAUAGCAGGAAAGGCACAAUGGACCGAUUGAGUACUGUGAGGGAAGGGCAUUUAUGACUUACCAGGAAGGAUUUACUUUUAACUUAGGCUAGAUUUUGAUGAAUAUUUCCUUUGAUGGAAAGUGCUGGAUAAAUCAACUUUGUAAGGAGGAAAAGAAGCUGGUUUUGAUCUUAGUUAUUUCUCCAGCCUAGCUCACUGUGUGACAGCGCAAGUUAAAAUGCAUAACAAAAAGCAGUGGCAAGAAGGGCAGGUGAAAGUGAAGUUAGGGCUUAUCAAAGUGUGUCUGAGCUGGCCCCCCAUGGAGGAAAGCCUCUUUAGAGAGACAUGUACCAACAGAGGCAUAGGCAGGCAGAAUGGGUGCAUUGAGAGCCCUUUGAGCAAACCCAGACCGUGCUUGGUAGGAGGGAGAGGCAGGGAGGAAACCUAAACAGAGAAAUAAAUGCUUAAUGAAGUUUCUGCUGUUAGCA